This is a long non-coding RNA of Anguilla anguilla (European eel), 979 nucleotides long. RefSeq lists it as uncharacterized. The transcript is spliced from 2 exons. Lineage: Eukaryota; Metazoa; Chordata; Actinopteri; Anguilliformes; Anguillidae. The record is from RefSeq and is a predicted model, not a curated record.
GUGCACGCGGCUGCAGAGCGGGCCGCAGGGAGGCUGUGCGCUGCCCGUCAGGGCACGCAAUAAACAGGCUUCGCAGGGACUUCCUUUAUCUAAACUUUCAUUUACUAUUUUAAUUAGCCACUGACAGACACACUGAAUGAGCAAGCUCUGUCAAGGAAGUUCACGACGCAGAUCGUACCUUUUGAGUUCUGUAGAUUGAAGCCAGGUAGUGGGCCGGGUACAGGUGAGCAGGUGAGCAGGUGGAUAAAGGUGAGCAGGCGAGCAGGUGAGCAGGUGAGCAGGCAGGCAGCAUCCAAGGCAUUUAAUCCGUGUAAAUAAUUCCAUGCAAAGUAUCAAAUAAAAUGUAGGUCCAAAAAGGCGUUCUGAAGGGUAAAAGUGAGCACGUAAGGCUUAUGUGCAGCAGUCAAAGGCAAGGCUAAGCCAUAAAGAACUGUAGGCUACCAGCAUGUUCCAAACUUUUCUCUCUGGUCUGAGUGAGGUCAAAUCUCAGGGGCCAUCUUUAAAAGGUCAAAUGCCAAACCAGCCAUUUCAAAAUAGAAGUCUUGAAACCAAAUGAGGGUUUCUACAAUACAGUCUUACAAAAUGGUUUCCAAAAUAUCUAAAAGUAAUAAAUACUCAUAUAUGGCUCCUACAAGGCUCUGUGGGAUCUUAAAUUGCGCACCAAAUGAACUAACGUUACGUUUCAGUGAUGACUGGUAAUUACAGACCAGGCAGGCUUGGUGGAGGAGGACAGUAAAUCGGCCGUUAAGCAGCAGGAGGGACCUCCAUGUUAGUCCGCUACAUCCUCUGGCCUGCUGGCUGUCCCAUGAGCACCUCAUACACCCAGCUCCUCUCUCCUGCCCCCCUGUGGUGGAUCAGCCUUCUCCAAUCAGUCAGAAAUUCUCCAAUCAGUCACGAACUGCUUUCCACUACUGCUAAAAACAAAUCUUUUCAGACUACAAGAGAACAGGGAGAUUUUGUAAAAAAUAAAUAAAUAAAU